RNAcentral lists this ribosomal RNA (253 nucleotides) under uncultured bacterium. RNAcentral describes it as "partial 16S ribosomal RNA". It matches the Rfam family "Bacterial small subunit ribosomal RNA", at positions 524 to 776 of the family's 1533-position model. The record is from RNAcentral.
UACAGAGGUGGCAAGCGUUGUUCGGAAUUACUGGGCGUAAAGGGUGCGUAGGCGGUUUGUUAAGUCAGUGGUGAAAGUUUUCGGCCCAACCGGAAAAUUGCCGUUGAUACUGGCGAACUUGAGUGCGUGAGGGAUGGGGGGAACGAGCAGUGUAGCGGUGAAAUGCGUAGAUAUUGCUCGGAAGGCCAGAGCCGAAGGGGCCCCAUUGGUACGUAACUGACGCUGAGGCACGAAAGCGUGGGGAGCAAACAGG